RNAcentral lists this ribosomal RNA (330 nucleotides) under uncultured eukaryote. RNAcentral describes it as "partial 18S ribosomal RNA". It matches the Rfam family "Eukaryotic small subunit ribosomal RNA", at positions 1470 to 1796 of the family's 1831-position model. The record is from RNAcentral.
CCCUUAGAUGUCCUGGGCUGCACGCGCGCUACACUGAAAGUUACGGAUUGACUUUUUACCUUGUCCGAAAUGGUCCGGGUAAUCACCUAAAAGCUUGUCAUAAUUGGAAUGGAUUAUUGUAACUAGUAAUCCUGAACGAGGAAUUCCUAGUAAGUCCCAGUCAACAGCUUGCGUUGAUUACGUCCCUGCCCUUUGUACACACCGCCCGUCGCUACUACUGAUUGGAUGUUUAAGCGAGGUUCUCGAACUGCUAGCGACUUAGCUUCGGUGAGGUCGCAGUGUGGGAAGUGAACCUAGCUUUGGUGUCUAGAGGAAGUAAAAGUCGUAACA